UGGGGAAUCUUAGACAAUGGGCGCAAGCCUGAUCUAGCCAUGCCGCGUGAGUGAUGAAGGCCUUAGGGUCGUAAAGCUCUUUCGCCUGUGAAGAUAAUGACUGUACCAGGUAAAGAAACCCCGGCUAACUCC
Molecule: ribosomal RNA, 132 nt
Filed under: uncultured bacterium
Lineage: Bacteria
Description: partial 16S ribosomal RNA
Rfam family: Bacterial small subunit ribosomal RNA
Source: RNAcentral